ACCACGGUGGUCUAGCGGUCAGAACACUAGCCUUGUAAGCCUGGGGUCCCGGGUUCAAUUUCCGGUGGUGCUC
This 73-nucleotide transfer RNA is filed under the name Zootermopsis nevadensis. It matches the Rfam family "tRNA". From Rfam's summary of the family: Transfer RNA (tRNA) molecules are approximately 80 nucleotides in length. Their secondary structure includes four short double-helical elements and three loops (D, anti-codon, and T loops). Further hydrogen bonds mediate the characteristic L-shaped molecular structure. tRNAs have two regions of fundamental functional importance: the anti-codon, which is responsible for specific mRNA codon recognition, and the 3' end, to which the tRNAs corresponding amino acid is attached (by aminoacyl-tRNA synthetases). tRNAs cope with the degeneracy of the genetic code in two manners: having more than one tRNA (with a specific anti-codon) for a particular amino acid; and 'wobble' base-pairing, i.e. permitting non-standard base-pairing at the 3rd anti-codon position. Lineage: Eukaryota; Metazoa; Arthropoda; Insecta; Blattodea; Termopsidae. The record is from Rfam by way of RNAcentral.